GUGCCAGCAGCCGCGGUAAUACGUAGGGGGCAAGCGUUGUCCGGAAUCAUUGGGCGUAAAGAGCGUGUAGGCGGUUCGGUAAGUCCGCUGUAAAAGUCCAGGGCUCAACCCUGGAAAGCCGGUGGAAACUGUCGAACUAGAGUCCGGAAGAGGCGAGUGGAAUUCCUGGUGUAGCGGUGAAAUGCGCAGAUAUCAGGAGGAACACCAAUGGCGAAGGCAGCUCGCUGGGACGGUACUGACGCUGAGACGCGAAAGCGUGGGGAGCAAACAGGAUUAGAUACCCUGGUAGUCC
Molecule: ribosomal RNA, 292 nt
Filed under: uncultured bacterium
Lineage: Bacteria
Description: partial 16S ribosomal RNA
Rfam family: Bacterial small subunit ribosomal RNA
Source: RNAcentral